AAUGAACGCUGGCGGUAUGCCUAACACAUGCAAGUCGAACGGCAGCACCUUAAUAGCUUGCUAUUACGGUUGGCGACUGGCGAACGGCUGGUGAAUAAAUCGGACUCUACUUUUUCGUAGGGGAUAACGUAGGGAAACUUACGCUAAUACCGCCUACGACCUCAGGGUGAAAGCAGGGGAUCUUCGGACCUUGCGCGAUUGAAUGAGCCGAUGUAGGAUUAGCUAGUUGGCGGGGGAAAUGCCUCCCAAGGCGACGAUCCGUGACUGGUCUGAGAGGAUGAUGAGCCACACUGGAACUGAGACACGGUCCAGACUCCUACGGGAGGCAGAAGUGGGGAAUAUUGGACAAUGGGGGAAAGCCUGAUCCAGCCAUACCGCGUGGGUGAAGAAGGCCUUCGGGUUGUAAAGCCGUUUUGUUGGGAAAGAAAAGCAGCAGGUUAAUACCCCGCUGUUCUGACGGUACCCAAAGAAUAAGCACCGGCUAACUUCGUG
RNAcentral lists this ribosomal RNA (492 nucleotides) under uncultured bacterium. RNAcentral describes it as "partial 16S ribosomal RNA". It matches the Rfam family "Bacterial small subunit ribosomal RNA", at positions 29 to 507 of the family's 1533-position model. The record is from RNAcentral.